UACAGAGGGUGCAAGCGUUAAUCGGAAUUACUGGGCGUAAAGCGUGCGUAGGUGGUUUGCUAAGUCAGGUGUGAAAUCCCUGGGCUCAACCUGGGAACUGCAUUUGAUACUGGCGAACUAGAGUGUGGUAGAGGGUAGUGGAAUUCCCGGCGUAGCGGUGAAAUGCGUAGAUAUCGGGAGGAACACCAGUGGCGAAGGCGGCUACCUGGACCAACACUGACACUGAGGCACGAAAGCGUGGGGAGCAAACAGG
Molecule: unclassified non-coding RNA, 253 nt
Filed under: uncultured Gammaproteobacteria bacterium
Lineage: Bacteria; Pseudomonadati; Pseudomonadota; Gammaproteobacteria
Description: contains 16S-23S intergenic spacer region
Rfam family: Bacterial small subunit ribosomal RNA
Source: RNAcentral